UACAGAGGUCCCAAGCGCUGUUCGGAUUCACUGGGCGUAAAGGGUGCGUAGGUGGUGAGAUAAGUCGGAUGUGAAAUCUCCAAGCUCAACUUGGAAACUGCAUUGGAAACUAUCUUGCUAGAGGGUUUGAGGGGGGACUGGGAUACUUGGUGUAGCAGUGAAAUGCGUAGAUAUCAAGUGGAACACCAGUGGCGAAGGCGAGUCCCUGGAAAAUACCUGACACUGAGGCACGAAAGCUAGGGGAGCAAACAGG
Molecule: ribosomal RNA, 253 nt
Filed under: uncultured bacterium
Lineage: Bacteria
Description: partial 16S ribosomal RNA
Rfam family: Bacterial small subunit ribosomal RNA
Source: RNAcentral